Molecule: unclassified non-coding RNA, 498 nt
Filed under: Hevea brasiliensis (rubber tree)
Lineage: Eukaryota; Viridiplantae; Streptophyta; Magnoliopsida; Malpighiales; Euphorbiaceae
Source: RNAcentral
UAGCUUCAUGGUUGGUCAAGCUCUUACUUCUGCGAGGUUAUACAGUUAAAGCCACUGUUCGUGAUCCAAAGGAUCCUAAGAAAACGGAACACUUGCUUGCUCUUGAUGGAGCCAAAGAAAGGCUUCACUUGUUCAAAGCAAAUUUAGUGGAAGAGGGAUCUUUUGAUGGAAUUAUUGAUGGUUGUAGUGGUGUAUUUCACACAGCUUCACCUGUGAUUCUUUCAACGAGUAACCCUGAGGCAGCUUUGCUUGAACCAGCAGUGAAGGGAACGCUGAAUGUUCUUAAGUCAUGUGCAAAAGUUCCUUCUAUCAAAAGAGUGGUUAUAACAUCUUCUAUGACAACAGUAAUGUUCAAUGGAAAACCUCUCAGCCCUGAUGUGGUUGUUGAUGAGACCUGGUUUUCCGAUAGAGCUUUUUGUGAGGAAAAGAAGAUUUGGUAUGCUGUUUCAAAAACCUUAGCUGAGGAUGUUGCUUGGAAAUUUGCAAAAGAAAAUGGAA